UGCAAGUCGAGCGGUAGAGAGAAGCUUGCUUCUCUUGAGAGCGGCGGACGGGUCAGUAAUGCCUAGGAAUCUGCCUGGUAGUGGGGGAUAACGUUCGGAAACGGACGCUAAUACCGCAUACGUCCUACGGGAGAAAGCAGGGGACCUUCGGGCCUUGCGCUAUCAGAUGAGCCUAGGUCGGAUUAGCUAGUUGGUGGGGUAAUGGCUCACCAAGGCGACGAUCCGUAACUGGUCUGAGAGGAUGAUCAGUCACACUGGAACUGAGACACGGUCCAGACUCCUACGGGAGGCAGCAGUGGGGAAUAUUGGACAAUGGGCGAAAGCCUGAUCCAGCCAUGCCGCGUGUGUGAAGAAGGUCUUCGGAUUGUAAAGCACUUUAAGUUGGGAGGAAGGGCAUUAACCUAAUACGUUAGUGUUUUGACGUUACCGACAGAAUAAGCACCGGCUAACUCUGUGCCAGCAGCCGCGGUAAUACAGAGGGUGCAAGCGUUAAUCGGAAUUACUGGGCGUAAAGCGCGCGUAGGUGGUUCGUUAAGUUGGAUGUGAAAUCCCCGGGCUCAACCUGGGAACUGCAUUCAAAACUGUCGAGCUAGAGUAUGGUAGAGGGUGGUGGAAUUUCCUGUGUAGCGGUGAAAUGCGUAGAUAUAGGAAGGAACACCAGUGGCGGAGGCGACCACCUGGACUGAUACUGACACUG
This 697-nucleotide ribosomal RNA is filed under the name uncultured bacterium. RNAcentral describes it as "bacterial SSU rRNA". It matches the Rfam family "Bacterial small subunit ribosomal RNA", at positions 56 to 748 of the family's 1533-position model. The record is from RNAcentral.